AUUUUCUGCGGAAAAGCCGGGUCCUAGAGACUGACCCAGCUUUUGCUCGAGAGCAUGGGACAGCCUCUACCCUCAGCUCCCGGCAGCUGCUGCGUUUCGCCAGUGAUGCGGCCAAUGGCAUGCAGUACCUGAGUGAGAAGCAGUUCAUCCACAGGGACCUGGCUGCCCGGAAUGUGCUGGUCGGAGAGAACCUGGCCUCCAAGAUUGCAGACUUCGGCCUUUCUCGGGGAGAGGAGGUUUAUGUUAAGAAGACGAUGGUGAGUCUCAUUCAACCCUCACCCUUAGGGCUUGUGCCUGGCCCUGCCCCACAGGAGCCUCAAACAGGCCCUUCCUCCACACUCAGCCCCUCAAACCCAUUCUCUCCUAGGGGCGUCUCCCUGUGCGCUGGAUG
This 391-nucleotide small RNA is filed under the name Pan troglodytes (chimpanzee). RNAcentral's name for it is "processed transcript". Lineage: Eukaryota; Metazoa; Chordata; Mammalia; Primates; Hominidae. The record is from RNAcentral.